GGGAGCAGAUAGAAUCUUCUAUAUGGUUUAGCUCUCCUUCACUUGAUAUGUCAUCCUCGAUUUCUUCAUAACACGAACCAGGACAUUCUCUAAGAGAACCAUUAUUGCAAGGAUUUGAAUUAUCCCUGCUUGAAGGUCUCUUAUGGAACCAGAAGUCUAAACCAUCCGCAUCUGAGAGAUUUAAGGUCGGAAUUCCUUCCUCCCUUGGAGAAUUUUGGGGUAUUGAUGGUUUAGGAUCGCUAGCUAAAGUUUGGGAUUGAAUUGGUUGUGAUGUGGCUAUCGAAACUUCUUCUUCUUGUCUAGGAACUGGUUCUUUCUCUUUCUUAGGGAUAUAAAUGCUAGGAGACUUUCCGCUCAUUAAAUCAAUCAAAUUCCAAGCUUCACUAGCAGGUAGGUGAUAGAAGGAUCCUCUAGAGGCUGUAUUCAAGGUUUACUUAUUUUCCCUACUAAGGCCCUCAAAAAAGUGAAUUAGAAGAACUUCUUCUGUAAUAGAAAGCUUUGGGCCAGUGAGAGUAAGGUUAAUAAAGCGGUCCCAUGAUUUGCCAAGAGAUUCUUCUUCCAGUUGUCUAAAAGAAAUAAUCUCACGCUGAAGUUUUGCCACUUUGGAUAUUGGAAAAUAUUUAAAAAGAAAACUAUUAUAUAACUCCUUCCAAUCUCCAUGAACACUCCCUACUUUGAGUUUGUACCAAUGUCUAGCUUUUCCUGUUAAAGAGAACGGAAAGAGCUUCCAUUUAAGGGUCUCAUUGGACAUGCCUUCAAUGCGAAGGAGGUCACAGACUCGAUAAAACUCUCUUAGGUGUGUGUAUGGAUUUUCCUAACCUUCUCCUAAGAAAGGUUAUUUUUGAACAAAUUCUAUGUAUUCGGGGUCUAUCUCAAAACUAGAUGUUAUGAUAGGCUUUGAAGAUUUUGGUGGUUCAAGAUGUGUGCCCGUGGGUCUAUGAAACUGAUAGAUAGACAUGUUUGCAUUCAUGAUAGACCAGAGAUCAAGGAUUAGAUAAAAAGAAAGAAUAGCAGAGAUGAGGCAAAGGAUAAAAGGAAAUAUAUUUUUUUUAUUUUUUAUUUUUUAGAAAAUGAUUAAGCUAGUUCGUAGUCAACUCAGCAACCGUCUCCCCGGCAACGGCGCUAAAAAUGCUUGUUGACACUUGCUAACACCACUUGAAUACUAAGUUGUCAUCCCCACCAUGGCACUAGAGUGUACUAUGGUAUUUAUACGCACAGAGAUAAAUCCACAGGCGCACGGAUACUGUUGUAGCUUUUACCCGGUUAAAGGUUUUAUCGUAUCCAUAGGGAAACGGGAGAACCAACUACGCUCUAACUUAACCAAGAUAGAUAUUUAGGUGUAAACAGGAAAGAUGGUAGAAUUGAAUAAGAACAAUAUUAAAGGUAAAAUGAUAAUGGGGGAAUAUAGAGUAGAGCAAUCUAAUAUAUGGGUGAUGGUAGGAGAAUAGAGAGGAUAACUAUGGUUUCUCUACUUCAAAGGGUAUGUCUAUGUCUAGGACGAACCACAUGAUAAGAAUACACCACAAAGGAUGCUUAUCCAUAGGCCAAUAAACCCUACCAGUCCUACUAACGGGAGGUGGACUACAGAGGACCAACAUAGCUGUCACCUACGUGGCCUACCACACGAUCCGGCUAGACAGGGGAUAUCCACAAGUAAUCUAGGUCUAAGCACCACGCUUACACCUAUACUACAACUCUAACCUAUAGGGUCCUAUAGAUUAAAAGUACUCAAAAGAGUUGUGAACUAGAAUAUACAUGAAUAGUAAUUGCAUAAUGAAAUAGAAGUAGAUUACCAGUCAUCCCAUGAGCAAGCUUGAUUAGAGCUUGAUCAUGGCGAAGUACAACCGGAGGAAGAACCGACAGGCCGGCCUCUCCUCCAAUCCUCCCUCGCUCUCCAUCUCGCUACUAUCU
RNAcentral lists this long non-coding RNA (1911 nucleotides) under Sorghum bicolor (sorghum). RNAcentral describes it as "long non-coding RNA (SBIC_LNC000731)". Lineage: Eukaryota; Viridiplantae; Streptophyta; Magnoliopsida; Poales; Poaceae. The record is from RNAcentral.